This 497-nucleotide ribosomal RNA is filed under the name uncultured bacterium. Its description in RNAcentral is "partial 16S ribosomal RNA". It matches the Rfam family "Bacterial small subunit ribosomal RNA", at positions 28 to 507 of the family's 1533-position model. The record is from RNAcentral.
GAUGAACGCUGGCGGCGUGCCUAAUACAUGCAAGUCGAGCGAACGGACGCGACGCUUGCUUCUCUGUCGUUUGCGGCGGACGGGUGAAUCACCCGUGGAUACCCUACCUAUAAGACUGGGAUAACUUCGGGACACCGGAGCUUAUACCGUAUGAUCUUUUGAACCGCAUGGUUCGAAAGUGAAAGACGGUCUUUCUGUCUCUUAUCGAUGGAUCCGCGCUGCUUUAGCUAGUUGGUAAGUUAACGGCUUACCAAGGCAACGAUGCAUAGCCGACGUGAGAGGGUGAUCGGCCACACGGGAACGGAGACACGGACCAGGGGACUGCGGGACGCAGCAGUCUGGAACCGUCCGCAAUGGGCGGAAGCCUUACGGAGCAACGCCGCGUGAGAGAUGAAGGUCUUCGGAUCGUAAAACUCUGUUAUGAGGGGAGAACAGAUGUGUAAGGAACUGUGCACAGCUUGACGGUACCUAAUCAGAAAGCCACGGCUAACUACGUG